GUGUGUUGUAGUGUGUGUCAGUGUGUGUCUUGUGGUCUGUGUGUGUCUUGUGGUCUGUGUGUUAGUGUUCACACUCAGCUCAGUUCCUCCAGUGACGUUUCGCUCCUGUUCUCAGCAGCCAGAGAACCAGCAGAACAGCUCCCUCAGGUCUCCAGACCUGCCCCCUCCUGUGACCCCUGACCCUGACCUGCCUUCCUCUGUGACCUCACCGCCAGAGGGAGCCAAUGAGAGAAGGGCACCGCCCCCUGUCCCGCCUGCCUCUGUGAAGCCUGUGUUCGGACAGGCUGACACUGCUGUCACUCAAGCUGACGAGGUGGUCCGAAACUCUGCUCCAAUCAAACCGCAGAGAACCAGGAAAGCCCUGUCCUGUGAUACAGGCAGUGAGAAGGACAGCCCCAGCCCUCAAGAGAGGUCCUCGGAGAAGAAGCCCCCUGUGAAGAAGCCCAGAAUCCCCCUGAACGCCCGAGUCAAGUCCCUGGACUGUCCCGAGAGAGGUCUGACUGCCCGAAUGUGUGACAGACCUCCUGUCUGUCUGCCUGGCCAACUGUUGGUCUCAGUGCCAAUGCUGCUCUUCCCUCUGCUGACUGCCUGUGUGUCUCUCGGCAUGUCCAUCUUUCUGUCUGACUUCCUGUCUCACUGAUGGACGUGCCUGUCUGUCUGUCACAUCACCUGUCUGCCUGUCCAUCUGCCUGAUUGCCCGUCUCACCCCCGGCGUGCCUGUCUGUCUGUCUGACUGCCCGUCUC
This 744-nucleotide long non-coding RNA is filed under the name Lepisosteus oculatus (spotted gar). RNAcentral describes it as "lncRNA (ENSLOCG00000022380.1)". The record is from RNAcentral. Lineage: Eukaryota; Metazoa; Chordata; Actinopteri; Semionotiformes; Lepisosteidae.